This 115-nucleotide small RNA is filed under the name Epilithonimonas bovis DSM 19482. Its description in RNAcentral is "Chryseobacterium bovis DSM 19482 Flavo-1 RNA". It matches the Rfam family "Flavo-1 RNA". The record is from RNAcentral. Lineage: Bacteria; Pseudomonadati; Bacteroidota; Flavobacteriia; Flavobacteriales; Weeksellaceae.
AACUGGCCCCGAUGUUAACGGCAUCCUUUUUUGUAAUUGUGCUCUAUAACAUCCUUUUUUUGACAAAGGCUCUGCCGUCAUUAUAAAAAAGAUACAAUGGACAGCGGGAUGAAGC